Molecule: ribosomal RNA, 500 nt
Filed under: uncultured bacterium
Lineage: Bacteria
Description: partial 16S ribosomal RNA
Rfam family: Bacterial small subunit ribosomal RNA
Source: RNAcentral
AUUGAACGCUGGCGGCAUGCCUUACACAUGCAAGUCGAACGGCAGCACGGGAGCAAUCCUGGUGGCGAGUGGCGAACGGGUGAGUAAAGUAUCGGAACGUGCCUAGUCGUGGGGGAUAACGUAGCGAAAGUUACGCUAAUACCGCAUACGAUCUAUGGAUGAAAGCGGGGGAUCGCAAGACCUCGCGCGAUUGGAGCGGCCGAUAUCAGAUUAGGUAGUUGGUGGGGUAAAGGCUCACCAAGCCGACGAUCUGUAGCUGGUCUGGGAGGACGACCAGCCACACUGGGACUGGGACACGGCCCAGACUCCUACGGGAGGCAGCAGUGGGGAAUUUUGGACAAUGGGCGAAGGCCUGAUCCAGCCAUGCCGCGUGCAGGAUGAAGGCCUUCGGGUUGUAAACUGCUUUUGUACGGAACGAAAAGGUUUGGGCUAAUAAGCUGAGCUCAUGACGGUACCGUAAGAAUAAGCACCGGCUAACUACGUGCCAGCCGCCGCUGUAA